Molecule: long non-coding RNA, 1975 nt
Organism: Tupaia belangeri chinensis (Chinese tree shrew)
Lineage: Eukaryota; Metazoa; Chordata; Mammalia; Scandentia; Tupaiidae
Exons: 4
Source: RefSeq, a predicted model, not a curated record
UCUCUCUCUGGUCAAAUUAAAAAGUAAUAAGUACAAUUAAUUCUAGAAAAAAAGAAAAAGAUUUGGCUGUCUAGGAACUGAGAAGAAGCAUACCUUCGUUGGUGUGGAAAGGUGGGGCUCUGGGGAGUGAAGUGAUUGGGGCCUGCUGUGACCGAGUUCCGCUGAGUUGACAAAGACCAGACUUGCCGGGGGAACAGGUGCUCGGCAGCUCUGCAGGACCCUCGCUGGACGCGCCCCGCACAUAUGGCCCCGUGGACCUAGGAACUGUUGAAUCAACCUCCGUGUCUAUACCGCCCCGAGUUCCAGGCAUUCUCCGUUAUCAGCACCGGAACGGACUCCAAGGCCACCUGUCUCUGUCACAUCAUCAAAUGGUUAAGGGAGCCUGGAAGGGGAAGAGAACCCGGCUCCCGUGGUGCUGACUCAGCCUCCAGGGUGUCUCCAUGGCAGUUCCGUUUCCCGUGUUCAUCGCUGUUUGGGUCACAGUGGGAUCACCAGGCAGUUUUCAAAACGGACCUACCCAGCACGGACAAGGAGGAACGCUUCCUCGCUGGCUCUCGCUGGCGCUGAGUGCGACCUGCGGCCCAGGGGUACCAGCACCAUGUGGGCAAGUUCCACGUGUCCAUCACUGGAGGGACUGCAGGACACGCUGGGACUGCCAAAGGCUGGAAUGAGGGCCACUCUCCAGUGGGAGGAAGCCUGUGUGUGGACGUGUCAACAGAGCCAAGGUACACGGUGACACGGCAGGUGGCGCAAGAGUGUGACCGGAACAGAAGAGAGACAGGCGCGUGCUGAGGGCACGGGGGUGUUCAACUCGCUAACAGUGGCAGGGUGGGGGGCAGGCAAGCAUUUCCACUUCAUGUGUCCACACAGGAUUUUUAAUGAGCGUGGAUUAGUCCAGGAAGCAGAAAAAUACAAACCAGUCAUGAUUAAAGUGUUCCUCGUAAUUCCUUUAAAAUUUCCCAGCACAAUGGAUGACGAAGCUAUCAUUUCUCUGUCCUUAUUCAUAUAACGUAUGAACCGGAGUAACCCAGCGUCCACUAUCACGACCGGCCAGCAGAGUCUGAGUUUUGACUUGAUUGUAACUUCCUUUCCAAACUGCUGCUCGGCCCAGGCAUGGCGGGACGCCCCAGGGGUAAGAACCAGCUGCCUCUGCCAGGCAGAUCAGAAGACCGCGGGGUAUGAACAGAUGAAGCAGCUGCAAGAAGUGGAGGGUGAGCCCAGACUCGCAAGGACUGCUCUACCCUUCCCAGAACAAUCUUUCUCAAAGGCCAGAGGUCACUGACUUCCAUGUGUCCGAAAUUUACCAAAGUAGCCGAGGCUCACCAGGGCCAAGGAACCCAGUACGGGACUGGAGUGCCUUUGGAUCUGAGAAGGAAGAUGGCCCCGAGGGAAGGAGGCAUGGUAAUGAAGGACCAAAGAAGGGACGCAGUGGGGAUGGCUUGCAGGCCACCGCUGCCAUUCCUCCACCAUGACGCCCAUGCCCGUGUCCUGCCCUGCACAGCCUCGACCUCUAGCAUUUCUCUAGGGGCUGGACACUGGGCCCAAUACCCCUCACCAGAAGAUAGGCUGGGGGUCCUGGGCCAGCGCUGAGUGACAGUGAGCAGAUCACCAGGAAAGUGGGGGCAAUUGUGUCUUUAAAAAGAGUGGGGGCUGGCAGGUGGCAUAGCGGUGUCACUAGACUCCCACAUGGCCAACUGUGGUUCAAGACUCAGAACCUAUGCUUUGAAACUCACGCUGGGCGCAAGUGCGUGCCCAAGAUCUUGGGAGAAGGGACUGUGGGGUGGUCAUCCCCGCGGGGGGUGAUUUCUCACUUUUCCUCAAUGUCCCUGUCUCUCUCUGGUGAACACACAUGCCCUAAAGCAAAAACCUCUAUAUAAAAAAAGAGGGGGCAAAAGGACCCCCCCCCUAAGUCUCUACUCAGUCACUCCCACACUGGCGGGGCCGGCCCCACGCCCACGCCAAAACAGGCAGGGGC